AUGAGUGGCGAACGGGUGAGUAACACGUGAGUAACCUGCCCCUUCUUUGGGAUAACGCCCGGAAACGGGUGCUAAUACUGGAUAUUCACUGGCCUUCGCAUGGGGGUUGGUGGAAAGGUUUUUUCUGGUGGGGGAUGGGCUCGCGGCCUAUCAGCUUGUUGGUGGGGUGAUGGCCUACCAAGGCUUUGACGGGUAGCCGGCCUGAGAGGGUGACCGGUCACAUUGGGACUGAGAUACGGCCCAG
Molecule: ribosomal RNA, 244 nt
Filed under: uncultured bacterium
Lineage: Bacteria
Description: partial 16S ribosomal RNA
Rfam family: Bacterial small subunit ribosomal RNA
Source: RNAcentral